AACGUAGGUGGCAAACGUUAUCCGGAAUUACUGGGCGUAAAGGGUGUGCAGGCGGGGAAGCAAGUGGUGUAUGAAAUCUCCCAGCUUAACUGGGAUAGGUUAUGCCAUACUGCUUUUCUAGAGGACGAGAGAGGGGGGUGGAAUUCCGCGUGUAGCAGUGAAAUGCGUAGAGAUGUGGAGGAACACCGAUGGCGAAGGCAGCCCCCUGGGCUAACACUGACGCUCAGGCACGAAAGCGUGGGGAGCAAACAGG
Molecule: ribosomal RNA, 253 nt
Filed under: uncultured bacterium
Lineage: Bacteria
Description: partial 16S ribosomal RNA
Rfam family: Bacterial small subunit ribosomal RNA
Source: RNAcentral